RNAcentral lists this ribosomal RNA (468 nucleotides) under uncultured bacterium. RNAcentral's name for it is "partial 16S ribosomal RNA". It matches the Rfam family "Bacterial small subunit ribosomal RNA", at positions 28 to 507 of the family's 1533-position model. The record is from RNAcentral.
GACGAACGCUGGCGGCGUGCUUAACACAUGCAAGUCGAACGGAAAGGCCCUGCUUUUGUGGGGUGCUCGAGUGGCGAACGGGUGAGUAACACGUGAGUAACCUGCCCUUGACUUUGGGAUAACUUCAGGAAACUGGGGCUAAUACCGGAUAGGAGCUCCUGCUGCAUGGUGGGGGUUGGAAAGUUUCGGCGGUUGGGGAUGGACUCGCGGCUUAUCAGCUUGUUGGUGGGGUAGUGGCUUACCAAGGCUUUGACGGGUAGCCGGCCUGAGAGGGUGACCGGCCACAUUGGGACUGAGAUACGGCCCAGACUCCUAUGGGAGGCAGCAGUGGGGAAUAUUGCACAAUGGGCGGAAGCCUGAUGCAGCAACGCCGCGUGCGGGAUGACGGCCUUCGGGUUGUAAACCGCUUUCGCCUGUGACGAAGUGUGAGUGACGGUAAUGGGUAAAGAAGCACCGGCUAACUACGUG